RNAcentral lists this ribosomal RNA (429 nucleotides) under Pseudomonadota bacterium. RNAcentral describes it as "Proteobacteria bacterium partial 16S ribosomal RNA". It matches the Rfam family "Bacterial small subunit ribosomal RNA", at positions 355 to 776 of the family's 1533-position model. Lineage: Bacteria; Pseudomonadati; Pseudomonadota. The record is from RNAcentral.
UGGGGAAUAUUGGACAAUGGGCGAAAGCCUGAUCCAGCCAUGCCGCGUGUGUGAAGAAGGUCUUCGGAUUGUAAAGCACUUUAAGUUGGGAGGAAGGGCAGUAAGCGAAUACCUUGCUGUUUUGACGUUACCGACAGAAUAAGCACCGGCUAACUCUGUGCCAGCAGCCGCGGUAAUACAGAGGGUGCAAGCGUUAAUCGGAAUUACUGGGCGUAAAGCGCGCGUAGGUGGUUCGUUAAGUUGAAUGUGAAAGCCCCGGGCUCAACCUGGGAACUGCAGCCAAAACUGGCGAGCUAGAGUAGGGCAGAGGGUGGUGGAAUUUCCUGUGUAGCGGUGAAAUGCGUAGAUAUAGGAAGGAACACCAGUGGCGAAGGCGACCACCUGGGCUCAUACUGACACUGAGAUGCGAAAGCGUAGGGAGCAAACAGG